UCAUUAUCAAUAGAAUUGCUCGAGUUACAAAGACUUCAUGUACUGGUUUAGCUUCGUUCAAAUUAAUAAUUUAUAAAAUAUGUGUUUCAAUUAGAGUAUCAACAAGAAGAAAUUGAACCUUGCUAAUGAUAUAUUUGACCCUAUUUGGUAAGAAUUAAAAGAUUUUAACCCUGGCUUCGGCUCCAUUUUAUUGAGAUUUUAAGGAGAAAAAAAUGUAUUUUGACAUAGUAAUUUUUUAAGAGUUUGGUUAAAAAAGAAGAAAUUUUUUGAAUUUACGUGUAAUAUUAUUUUAUUGAAAAAUGUAUUGAAAUUAAAAUGGAGCCCAAAUGGAAGCUUAAUCUAAGUCCAAGUUAAUUUUAUGGGAUCCACAAAUUUUCAAUCACACAUUUAAUCAACGUUUAUCAAAAUUUAUUAAAAAUCUGAUUUUAAUCUCCAGACAAAGGCCUAACUUAAUUCUCAAUCAUUUUCAUUUAGUUCUAUCUUUUUCCUUCUUCUAACUUUUAUCCCUUCCCCAAAAAAGAAACAUUUUGACCAAAAAAACACUUAAAGGUAUGGAAUUUCAGAAUUUCUAAUGAAACGCCUCUAU
Molecule: long non-coding RNA, 586 nt
Filed under: Olea europaea (common olive)
Lineage: Eukaryota; Viridiplantae; Streptophyta; Magnoliopsida; Lamiales; Oleaceae
Description: long non-coding RNA (OEUR_LNC015502)
Source: RNAcentral